RNAcentral lists this ribosomal RNA (855 nucleotides) under uncultured bacterium. Its description in RNAcentral is "bacterial SSU rRNA". It matches the Rfam family "Bacterial small subunit ribosomal RNA", at positions 51 to 919 of the family's 1533-position model. The record is from RNAcentral.
ACACAUGCAAGUCGAACGAGCGAGAGAGAGCUUGCUUUCUCGAGCGAGUGGCGAACGGGUGAGUAACGCGUGAGGAACCUGCCUCAAAGAGGGGGACAACAGUUGGAAACGACUGCUAAUACCGCAUAAGCCCACGACCCGGCAUCGGGAAGAGGGAAAAGGAGCAAUCCGCUUUGAGAUGGCCUCGCGUCCGAUUAGCUAGUUGGUGAGGUAACGGCCCACCAAGGCGACGAUCGGUAGCCGGACUGAGAGGUUGAACGGCCACAUUGGGACUGAGACACGGCCCAGACUCCUACGGGAGGCAGCAGUGGGGAAUAUUGCACAAUGGGGGAAACCCUGAUGCAGCGACGCCGCGUGGAGGAAGAAGGUCUUCGGAUUGUAAACUCCUGUUGUUGAGGAAGAUAAUGACGGUACUCAACAAGGAAGUGACGGCUAACUACGUGCCAGCAGCCGCGGUAAAACGUAGGUCACAAGCGUUGUCCGGAAUUACUGGGUGUAAAGGGAGCGCAGGCGGGAAGACAAGUUGGAAGUGAAAUCCAUGGGCUCAACCCAUGAACUGCUUUCAAAACUGUUUUUCUUGAGUAGUGCAGAGGUAGGCGGAAUUCCCGGUGUAGCGGUGGAAUGCGUAGAUAUCGGGAGGAACACCAGUGGCGAAGGCGGCCUACUGGGCACCAACUGACGCUGAGGCUCGAAAGUGUGGGUAGCAAACAGGAUUAGAUACCCUGGUAGUCCACACCAUAAACGAUGAUUACUAGGUGUUGGAGGAUUGACCCCUUCAGUGCCGCAGUUAACACAAUAAGUAAUCCACCUGGGGAGUACGACCGCAAGGUUGAAACUCAAAGGAAUUGACGGGGG